Molecule: ribosomal RNA, 301 nt
Filed under: uncultured bacterium
Lineage: Bacteria
Description: partial 16S ribosomal RNA
Rfam family: Bacterial small subunit ribosomal RNA
Source: RNAcentral
CAGUAGCCGCGGGAAUACAGAGGGUGCAAGCGUUAAUCGGAAUUACUGGGCGUAAAGCGCGCGUAGGUGGUUUGUUAAGUUGAAUGUGAAAUCCCCGGGCUCAACCUGGGAACUGCAUCCAAAACUGGCAAGCUAGAGUAGGGCAGAGGGUGGUGGAAUUUCCUGUGUAGCGGUGAAAUGCGUAGAUAUAGGAAGGAACACCAGUGGCGAAGGCGACCACCUGGGCUCAUACUGACACUGAGGUGCGAAAGCGUGGGGAGCAAACAGGAUUAGAUACCCCGGUAGUCCCUGUCUCUUAUAC